AGGUAAGCUACUAAGAGCGAAUGGUGGAUGCCUUGACUGGUAAAGGCGAUGAAGGACGUACUAGACUGCGAUAAGCUACGGGGAGCUGUCAAGAAGCUUUGAUCCGUAGAUUUCCGAAUGGGGCAACCCAAUGUAUAGAGAUAUACAUUACCUAUAUAGGAGCGAACGAGGGGAAUUGAAACAUCUUAGUACCCUCAGGAAAAGAAAUCAAUAGAGAUUGCGUCAGUAGCGGCGAGCGAAAGCGCAAGAGGGCAAACCCAGUGCUUGCACUGGGGGUUGUAGGACUGCAAUGUGCAAGAGGUAAGUUUAGCAGAACAUUCUGGAAAGUAUAACCAUAGAGGGUGAUAGUCCCGUAUGCGAAAAACAAACCUUAGCUAGCAGUAUCCUGAGUAGGGCGGGACACGAGGAAUCCUGUCUGAAUCCGGGUCGACCACGAUCCAACCCUAAAUACUAAUACCAGAUCGAUAGUGCACAAGUACCGUGAGGGAAAGGUGAAAAGAACUGAGGUGAUCAGAGUGAAAUAGAACCUGAAACCAUUUGCUUACAAUCAUUCAGAGCCCUAUGUAGCAAUACAGGGUGAUGGACUGCCUUUUGCAUAAUGAGCCUGCGAGUUGUGGUGUCUGGCAAGGUUAAGCAAACGCGAAGCCGUAGCGAAAGCGAGUCUGAAUAGGGCGCUUAGUCAGAUGCUGCAGACCCGAAACGAAGUGAUCUAUCCAUGAGCAAGUUGAAGCUAGUGUAAGAACUAGUGGAGGACUGAACCCAUAGGCGUUGAAAAGCCCCGGGAUGACUUGUGGAUAGGGGUGAAAGGCCAAUCAAACUUCGUGAUAGCUGGUUCUCUCCGAAAUAUAUUUAGGUAUAGCGUUGUGUCGUAAUAUAAGGGGGUAGAGCACUGAAUGGGCUAGGGCAUACACCAAUGUACCAAACCCUAUCAAACUCCGAAUACCUUAUAUGUAAUCACAGCAGUC
This 965-nucleotide ribosomal RNA is filed under the name Campylobacter jejuni. RNAcentral's name for it is "partial 23S ribosomal RNA". It matches the Rfam family "Bacterial large subunit ribosomal RNA", at positions 1 to 985 of the family's 2925-position model. The record is from RNAcentral. Lineage: Bacteria; Pseudomonadati; Campylobacterota; Epsilonproteobacteria; Campylobacterales; Campylobacteraceae.